Molecule: ribosomal RNA, 468 nt
Filed under: uncultured bacterium
Lineage: Bacteria
Description: partial 16S ribosomal RNA
Rfam family: Bacterial small subunit ribosomal RNA
Source: RNAcentral
GACGAACGCUGGCGGCGUGCUUAACACAUGCAAGUCGAACGGAAAGGUCCUGCUUUUGUGGGGUGCUCGAGUGGCGAACGCGUGAGUAACACGUGAGUAACCUGCCCUUGACUUUGGGAUAUCUUCAUGAAACUGGGGCUAAUACCGGCUAGGAGCUCCUGCUCCAUGGUGGGGGUUGGACAGUUUCGGCGGUUGGGGUUGUACUCGCGGCUUCGCAGCUUGUUGGUUGGGUAGUGGCUUACCAAGGCUUUGACGGGUAGCCGACCUGAGCGGGUGACCGGCCACAUUGGGACUGAGGUACGGCCCAGACUCCUACGGGACGCAGCGGUGGGGAAUAUUGCACAAGGGGCGGAAGCCUGAUGCAGCAACGCCGGGUGCGGGAAGACGGCCUUCGGGUUGUAGACCGCUUUCGCAUGUGACGAAGCGUGAGUGACGGUAAUGGGUAAAGAAGCACCGGCUAACUACGUG